Macaca mulatta (Rhesus monkey) is the source of this 2966-nucleotide long non-coding RNA. NCBI's taxonomy places the organism in Eukaryota, Metazoa, Chordata, Mammalia, Primates, Cercopithecidae. The record is from Ensembl.
AAGUUAAUUAUAAAAUUAUAUUAAUUAAUUUUAAUAGCCCAACGAUCCUUCUGGAAUUGAUGUCUGAGAAGAACAAAGUCCCCAGAGAGGCCAACAGGGAAAAGGUCAAGUCAGACCAAAUUUUUCAGGCCCAGAGCUGUGCCUGCUUUGUCCUGAGCUCCAAUUUGGGAAACACAAGAAGAAAUGAAGAUGGACACAUGAUGACAGAGACCCUUGGGCUCCUGGGGGUGGUGGCAGGAGCACGAGUGACAGCUGUUUCCAAAUAUGGACCGAUGACAAGAUGCUUCCAAGAACCAAAAGAUUAGGAAAGAUCUUCUUUUCAUCUUUCAAGUGAAAAACAUAUCUGCUAGCAAGAAUAAUGAGGAUUUGAGAAAUCACUGUGGAAAAAGAAGAUUGUUUAUACGAAGCCAGUGACUUUGGCCUGACUGACAUAUGUAAGCACAUCUGACAGAAGCAAAAGCAAACUUAAUAAUCCAAUGGUUAUACCCCAAGCCCACGUAAUUUGAGAAGUGAGCACCUUGGGGGCAGUUUAAAGCAGGGGCUUUGGUGAAGGCAGAUCUUUUUAUUUUUUAUUUUUAUUUUACUUAAAAAAACAAAACUGCAGAACAUGCAGGUUGUUACAUAGGUAAAUGUGUGCCAUGGUGGUUUGCUGCACCUAUCAACCCAUCGCCUGGGUACUAAGCCCCACAUUCAUUAGCUAUUUUUCCUAAUGUUCUCCCUCUGCUAGCACCCCCAACCAACAGACUCUGAGAUGUGUUGUUCCCCUCCCUGUGUCCAUGUGUUCUCAUUGUUCAGCUCCCACUUAUGAGUGAGAAUAUGCGGUGUUUGGUUUUCUGUUCCUUUGUUAUUUUGGUGAGGAUGGUUUCCAGCUUUAUCCAUGUCCCUUUAGAGGACAUGAUCUCAUUCCUUUUUAUGACUGCAUAGUAUUCCAUGGUGUAUAUGUGCCACAUUUUCUGUAUGUAGUCUAUCAUUGGUGGUCAUUUGGGUUAGUUCCAUGUCUUUGCUAUUAUGAAUAGUGCUGCAGUAAGCAUACGUAUGCCUGUAUCUUUAUAAUAGAAUGAUUUAUAUUCCUUUGGGUAUAUACUCAGUAAUGGGAUUGCUGGGUCAAAUGGUAUUUCUGGUUCCAGAUCUUUGAGGAAUCACCACACUGACAGUAUAAAAGUGUUACUAUUUCUCCACAGCCUCGCCAGCAUUGUUUCUUGACUUUUUAAUAAUUGUCAUUCUGACUAGCAUGAGAUGGUAUCUCAUUGUGGUUUUGAUUUGCAUUUCUCUAAUGAUCAGUGAUGUUGACCUUUCUUUCAUAUGUUUGUUGGCCGCAUAAAUGUCUUUUGAGAAGUUUCUGUUCAUGUAGAAAGGCAGAUCUUCUUUCCCCACUAUGGGACCUUGGGUUGGUGUGUCUGUGGUUUCCAUGACAACUCUCAGAUUUGAUGAUUUACUGGAAGGGCUCACAGGACUCAGGAGAGUUACAGUUUGUGACUGUGAAAGGACACAGAUUAAAAUCAGCAAAGAGAAAAGGCACACAGGGAAAGGUCUGAGAGAAAAAAAAAGACACAAGCUUCAAGUUGUCUACCCCCAGCGGAGUUGCGUAAGUGCUUAAUGCCCUAGGAACAGUGUGUGACACACCUGCGAGGUGUUGCCAUCCAGGGAAGCUCGCCUGGGCCUUUGGUAUCCAGGGUUUUUAUUGGGGGUUUGUCAUGUAGGCAGGCAGUGCCUUCAUAGCUGACCUUAGCUACUCAGUCUCCAGCCCUGCCAAGGUCCAGCUGAUAGAGCCUGGCCCAAAGCCCCAAGCAUACAACAAGGGAGCAUCAUAAGCCACAUUGAUAGCACAAACUAUCUGAGCAAGCUGGUAUAGCAUGGCCGAAACCUCAGUCACACAAACAUUUCUAUCAGGCCUCAGAUGUCAUCAUGCAGAAGCCCUUCAACAGCCAGUCCUUUGUCUGGAGUAGUGUAAGGUUUGAGCACCAAAGCCUGCUGAGUUGACCUUUUACUGCACGAGUAAUUACUUUUCCUCCCUGGAACUUGAUUUUCUUCUCAGAAAAACUACACUAAUGAGAAGAUCUUUGUGAUAAUUCGAAAGAUUAUCCUGAAGAUAAAAUAUCGGUAACAUGUUCAGAAUAAUGCCUGACUUAUAUCAAAAACUCCAUAUUAUCAUUUCUAAAAUUUUAAACUUUUAAAAACUUUAUUCCAGGGUGUGGUGAGUCUUCUGGGGUUUGCCUCCUAUGUCUCAGACUUGGAGCUGGAAAAGUUGGUAAGCAAGAAAUGCCAGCUGGAGCAGACACACACAAAAUAAAAUAGCCCCAAGAAAAGACUCCUUUCUCUAGCCAAAGGAACACAACAGGGGCAUCCUAGCCAGUUAGAAUGCUUUUGGGCAGUAACUGCUCUGGCACAGCUGAACACCACAGAGAAGCUGUGGCCUCACAGCUGCCCCUGCCAGCAAAGACUCAGUGGGGAGCCUAUACUGCCACCGCCGCUAGGCUGUAACAAGCUACCUAAACCUCUCUGGGGUGAUGUCAGAGAAGGUGAGGUAGGGACCUGGGACUUCCGUAUCUGAUGGGUAGUAAUGGGUACCCCCCCACACACACCAACAUCAGUGUAUACCACGUAAACAACCAGGACUUCCAGGAUAUCAUGAUGAGAGGUGAAGCCAGCUGGACUUCCUGGGUCCAGUGGGGACUUGGAGAACUUUUCUGUCUUACAAGAGGUUUGUAAAAUGCACCAGUCAGUGCUGUGUAAAAACGUACCAAUCAGCACUCUGUAGCUAGCUAGUGGUUGGUAAAAUGGACCAAUCAAUGCUCUGUAAAAUGGACCAAUCAACACUCUGUAAACUGGACCAAUAAGCAGGACAUGGGCGGGGACAAUUAAGGGAAUAAAAGCUGGCAUCCUCAGCGGCGUGGGGGGCAACCUGCUUGGGUCUCCUUCUAUCCUGUGGAAACUUGGUUCUUUCAGUCUUCACAAUAAAUCUUGCU